AGCAGCCGCGGUAAUUCCAGCUCCAAUAGCGUAUAUUAAAGUUGUUGCAGUUAAAAAGCUCGUAGUUGAAUUUCGGGGUUUAUCCGUUGGUCGGGCUUUUUGGUCUGUACUGGCGUGAUGGAUUCCUACCUUCUGAAUAACCGGCAUGCCAUUAAUUUGGUGCGCCGGGGAAGCAGGACUGUUACCUUGAAAAAAUUAGAGUGCUUAAAGCAGGCUUAUGCCUGAAUACAUUAGCAUGGAAUAAUGAAAUAGGACGGCAUGGUUCUAUUUUGUUGGUUUCUAGGAUUGACGUAAUGAUUAAUAGGGAUAGUUGGGGGCAUUAGUAUUCAAUUGUCAGAGGUGAAAUUCUUGGAUUUAUUGAAGACUAACUACUGCGAAAGCAUUUGCCAAGGAUGUUUUCAUUAAUCAAGAACGAAAGUUAGGGGAUCGAAGACGAUCAGAUACCGUCGUAGUCUUAACCAUAAACUAUGCCGACUAGGGAUCGGAUGAUGUUAAUUUUUUAAUGACUCAUUCGGCGCCU
Molecule: ribosomal RNA, 520 nt
Filed under: uncultured Acaulospora
Lineage: Eukaryota; Fungi; Glomeromycota; Glomeromycetes; Diversisporales; Acaulosporaceae
Description: SSU rRNA
Rfam family: Eukaryotic small subunit ribosomal RNA
Source: RNAcentral